Molecule: ribosomal RNA, 248 nt
Filed under: uncultured Staphylococcus sp.
Lineage: Bacteria; Bacillati; Bacillota; Bacilli; Caryophanales; Staphylococcaceae
Description: partial 16S ribosomal RNA
Rfam family: Bacterial small subunit ribosomal RNA
Source: RNAcentral
UACGUAGGUGGCAAGCGUUAUCCGGAAUUAUUGGGCGUAAAGCGCGCGUAGGCGGUUUUUUAAGUCUGAUGUGAAAGCCCACGGCUCAACCGUGGAGGGUCAUUGGAAACUGGAAAACUUGAGUGCGGAAGAGGAAAGUGGAAUUCCAUGUGUAGCGGUGAAAUGCGCAGAGAUAUGGAGGAACACCAGUGGCGAAGGCGACUUUCUGGUCUGUAACUGACGCUGAUGUGCGAAAGCGUGGGGAUCAA